UGUGGCAGUCAUUUUGUAGACAGUAUCUUUAGUUAACAAGGCUCAUCUCUGAGCAUGGCGCUAAUUUCAAGAUGUUCAAAAUUUAGCAACAACAGCGUGGGGCAAUUUGAGUACUAGUUACUACGAGGACUAACAAGGAUUAUAGAGGCCUGUUUAUGGUGAGGAUGAGGCUGUAAAUCCCAUUAUCCGAGCGCCUACCAGCUACGAGGACCGGAAGAGGCUAUUUUUGGAGCGGCUCAGCCCACUUGCACACACAAUUCCA
Long non-coding RNA from Thalassophryne amazonica, 262 nucleotides. RefSeq lists it as uncharacterized. The record is from RefSeq and is a predicted model, not a curated record. NCBI's taxonomy places the organism in Eukaryota, Metazoa, Chordata, Actinopteri, Batrachoidiformes, Batrachoididae. The transcript has 3 exons.